GUUUGCCAUUUGACCAAAGCAUUUUGGAGGCUCAGUCCAGGGCACUAUGGUGAUUCAUUCUGUUUCACUGUGACAGAAGUUCUACAAAUAUGUUUGUUCUUUAAUCCACAUUGAGACUUUUGUGAAAGUGAGCACACACAAACAUACUACAGCUUGGAAAAAGCCUGUUUCAUCUUACAGACAGCAGUCCCGAUCAAUUUUUCCUAAACACCAUUCAUAUUUCCUAGGAUCCUACAAGAAGUAAAUGGAUCACCAGACACAAACGAAUUGUUAUGUCCCUUCUUAGAAAAUCUAAAUAUCUAAAUGUCUUGAUAUCAAACUCUUUGUGCCUUCUAAGUGUUCAGUAAGGAAUUUCAUUUAUAUCUCUAAUUUUUUUUUUUGUUACUGAGAAAGAAACUCUUUAAAAGAAACUUCUCCCUUUCCUGAAAACCUCCUUCUGUUUGAAAGUGUGCAUUUUAGUUCAGGGCAGUGGUUAUCAAACCUUUGUGUGCAUUAGAAUCACCAGGAGGGCCUGCUAAAACACAUCUUGCUAGGUUCCACCACUAGAACUUCUGAUUCAGUAGGUGUGAUGUAAGAUCCAAGAAUAUACAUUCCUAACAAUUUUCCAGGUGAGGAUGAUGUUGCUGGUCCAGGGCCCACAGUAUGAGAACUACUAAUUUAAGAAAAUAUACUCCUCUUUUGUUCACUUCUCUAAGAUGUUUUAACUAGUUGUGAGAAUGCUAUAUUAAUAAGGAAAAAUGUGAGACUCCCAAAACUUGAAACAUCCAACAGAUAUCAAGGAGCAUUGAUUUCCCUAUAUCCCACCUAGGGAGAGGGAUCUUUCCAGUAGCAGCUUACAGAUCACUUUGCCAGGGCAGUUUUCUUGGGCCCUUUUAUCAGGACAGUCUCCCUUGCAAAGACAUAGCACCUGAUAAUUGAUCUUCAUGAUGAUCAUCACAAUUGUAAUUAUACAAUUAUUUGUGAAAAUAUUUAAUGACUGUAUUUCCUAAGGAAGCUUAAUCUUUUUAGGUGCCAUUAUUGCCUUAGCUACUGUUAUAUUUGUUCAGCAUCUAGUUUGGAGUUUGGCACAUAGUCAAUGUAAUAUCUGCCAAAAUAAAUGUUUGGAAAAACAUUAGGAUUCUUCCAUUUACAUAGAAAUGGUGGGUUCUGAGGGCCUUAAAUCAGAGAUAGUAUUCUCCUGCAUCCAUUGCCACAGUUUUUUUGAUUAUGACAUUCUUGCAUGCUGAACUCAGACUGGGCCCAGGAAUGAUCUUCAAUACAGGCAGCUUCUACCAGUUGUCAGAUAUGGCCUAUGAGAUAAAAUCUAAUUGCCAUUCUUACAAUAAAUUCUAUUCAGGAUGGCCUUCGCUUUGUUCACUCAAUAUUCCCUGAGAUUUUGCCCCUAUCUUUGUUCGUGCUGUUUCAUUUAUCUGAAAUAGCUACUUUCCUCCAAACACACUCCAUUUGUUGAAAACCUAUUAAUUCCUUAAGUCCUAUCUUGAGCACCAUCUUUUCUGCAAAGCCUUUUGAAAUCCCCUUAAUUAGAUGAAAUCUCUGAUGACUCUAACCUUGCUCUACCUUACAACAUAGAAAUUUGUAUGCUUGCCUUUACCUUCUUACUAAAAUGGUCCUUCUUAAAGACUGGAAAAACAUAUUCAAUCCCUUACCAUAACUUCAGUUAUUAAACACAUAUAUAUUUGUCUCCUAUCAUGUGCCAGGCUCUGUGCUAAGUACUGAGGGUAUAAAGCUAUAGGAGACAUAGCCUCUGUCUUAAGUAGGUCAUCGUUAUCCAGGGCAUUAAACAAACACUUAAAGACAUGGUUGUAGAAUAACACAGCAGAUGUUAUACUGGAGGCAUUUACAAGUCACAGUGAUGGGUUGAAGAAAUAAAUGAUCAUCUCUGUUUGGGCCGGGUGUGGUGAGUAAAGAUAUUAGAAUGAUUAGAAACAAUUAAGUAAAAUGCUUAAGAGAUGGGUAGGAGAUUUUACAGACAUGGUAGGUGUUUAGUUCCUUCCAUUUAACCAACUUAUUUGAAUUGAUCUUAAUGCAGCCUGUAAAAUUGAAGCUGGUAAAACAAACUCUAAUUUAUUUUCUUACUUCUCUUUAGUUUUCUGAAUGCUGCAUAAAGUUUUCACAGAUCCUCUAUCCAGAUUCUCCUACUGUUGACUGUGUUUCCACAUUACAGUUUACCCAAUUCAUUCACGUAGGCCUUGCCACUGAUCUAUAGACUCACCCUGGUUGCCCUGUGCUCUGUAGUAGUUGCAUUAUUUCCAAUAGGAAGUGCCAUAGUAAGCCACAUUAAACAGGUAUUUGGACUGUGCUGAAGUAGAUCCUCCUCUACCAACUUACAUAGUUGCAUGAGUUGAGGAAAUGUGCCAGGAACCCAAAUCCAGUUUGCUGCUAUAGGAUGUAAGGGCUGCUGAAAACAAUGUUCUCAGCCAGGACAGAGGCAGUACAGUUAUCAGAAUCACUAGGAGAUACAUCGUCAAGUGGCACAAGGUCAACCCAACUUCCCUGUUUUAAAAAAAUACCACCCAAUCACCACUGAAACCUACUCCUCCUAAAAUAUUACAUGUUUCAGAAAGUCAAUGAAUGCAGCUUGAUAAACUUAAAAUUGCUAAGUGAACUUCAAAAUAAUGCUCAGGAAAAGGAAGAUGCCAUCAAUUGAAUAAUUUGGGAAAGUUUCUGAGCAAUUAAAGAUUGUUUUUCAUCAACUAGAAAAUAUUUGGUAUGUUAAUCACACUAAAAAAGAUGAUAAUUUCCACGUAAACAUGAAGGUGUUGCAAGCUCUCCUAGCAAAGUGUCUCAAACUUUAGGGUACUCCAGAAUUACCCAGGGAUCUUGCUACAAACAUUAGGUCACUGAGCUCCACUCCUAGAGAUGUGUUUUGGAAAGUCUGGGUAUGACUCCAGGACUUUGCAGUUUGAACAGGCAUCAUGGGGGGUAACGUUGCAGGCAGCCCACAGACCGUACUUUAUCCCAGGUAAAUUAUCCUUGAUCUUAUGGGGAUAAAACAAAGCCAACUGUAUAGCUGACCCUUGAACAACACAAAUUUGAACUUGGUGGGUCCACCUGCACACAGGUUUUCUUCACCCGCUGCCACUCCUGAGACAGCAAGGCCAACCCCUCAAGACCAACCCCUCCUCUUCCUCCUCCUUUUCAGCCUACUCAACGUUGAAGAUGAGGUUGAAGACCUUUAUGAUAAUCCACUUCCACUUAGUGAAUAGUAAAUGUAUUUUCUAUUCUGACUUUUUAAAUAAUACUGAUUUUCUUAAUACCACUGUCCUUUUUCUUGCUUUCUCAGUAGGCUAUUAAUAGUUAAAUUUUGGAGGAGUUAAAAGUUAUGCAUAGAUUUUUCAACUGCAUAGAGGUCGGCACCCCUAACCCCUGCGUUAUUCAAAGAUCAACUCUAUAACAUUCUUCCCACCACAACUUCUAUAUGCUAAUGUGGGAAACAGUAUGCAAAGAGAUUAAAACUUCUACCUUUGACAAGUGGCCUGCCCCAAACUUCUCUGUUAUCUUUGAUUCAUUCUUUUUUUUUUUUUUUUACCAAGAAAGGGGAGUAAUUGUCUUCCCCAUCUCCACAUGUAAUACAAAAACAAUUUUAGAAAUCUAUUUAUCUUAUUGAUCACUUGUGUGUGUGUAUCAUGAUUUACUUAGGCAAGAAAGAGCUAAAGUCAAUCUCCCAACCAAUUAUUAAUUGAAGUUUUAGUAUCUACUGAUUACUGGCAACUAGGCCCAAGGAGGGUUGCUUAUCUCACUUCUCCCUCACAAUAGCUUUAGGAAAAAGGUGCAGUUGUCCUCACUUUACAGAUGAGUAAACAAGAUGAAUAGUUAGGGAACUUGCAAAGUUUAAAAAAAAAAAAGUGAAAUCCAAGCUUCAAACCCAGGUGUCUGAUUUGACAAACCACUUUGUCUUCACCACAUCUUAACAGUUGUUAUUUCACUUCAUUUUUGGGGGGGCUGUAAACUUUGAGUGAAUGAUGAGUUUGUACCAGCUGCAAUUUAGUGUUUAAUGGUACAAGUGAAACUAUAUCCUUCCCUCAUACCCUUCGGUCUCAUUCCCAUCUAAGGGUGGGAUCUGUAAUCAUGUUCUCCAACAGCCAGCUUCUAGCUUCUGUGGUUUUUCUCUGCCUUUGACAACCAUUUAUUCCUCUUCGUUUAAGAUUCUGUCUCAUCUAUCUUUGAUCUAGGCACCUUUUCUUUCUUCUCCAGAGUGUUUCUUCCCAGCAGUCCCCUAGUUUUAUUAUUCGAGAUUUCAGACCUUCCUUUCUCUUUUAGCUUUAAGCUUUGGGCUUCUCUCUCUCUCUCUAUCUGUGGUGGUCAUAUGGCAUGCUGUUUCUUUCAUUUAGUUUUCUUUUUCGUGUUCAACCAUAUAUUCUUUUUUGUUCCCCAUUAUUCUAGAUUGCAUCAUACCACCUUAAUCCUUACUAACCUGCUGGAAAGAUUUUCUGUCUCUAGUAUUUCUGAUACCAGCCUGUUAACCAUGGGGAAGAAGGGAACAAUUGACAUCUUCAUCAUUAAUUUUAUUGAUCACAUAGAUAUUUUUCCAGAAUUUUGCAUGCUUUUUUAUUUACUCAAGUGUGUGAGUAUUCUUUCUGUGGCCUAAAAUGAAUUGGCAAGUUUUGAUAAAAUUGCCAUUGGGCCUCAAACUUAGCAGUGAAGUGAAUUUAUAGCAAGAGAUAGGAUAAUAUACUCACACCUGAAACCACAAGGACCUAGUCAGCCACGAAAAGUAACAUUUCAUGAAAGUAGAAAACAGGCUAGUUUCUAGACAUUUCAAAUCAGUGGAUUUCUUUUGUUCUAAGGCAUUUUCAUAAUAACUACUAAAUUUAAUUUAAAAAAAUCAAACUCUUCUCUCUCAGGUUUACAAUCCAGUACAAGGGCAGAUAUAAAUUCUGUCAUUGGAAUGAUUUACCUGUCACUAUUGUAUAAUUUAUAAAUAACAUAGAGAACAAUGUAAUUUUUUAAUACCAUGAGUCAUACGCUUUAUGUUGCAAUAAUUUUAGUUUAGUCUCUCUUUGCUCUUUAGCAAAAUAAAAGUAAAAGAAUUUCCAAAACAGAGGAAUCGUGACAGGGAGAACGAGAAAUGCAAUGCAUCAAAGCAACACAAGAUGUCACUUUUACACAGGCCUGCAUUUGCAGGUAAGGCUACAUCUGCAUUGUGCAUAAAAGAGUAUGUGAGGGGAAAAGCAUCAAGAUUUACAAAUGCUUCAGAAAUAUGAAAAGGAGCAAGCAACCUUGGUUUUGUUUUCAAUAUUUGUAAUAAUAUCUUGAAAUGUAUCAUGAAACUGGAAUUAUUCUCCUAUAUCUAUAUAAGUUCACAGAAUACGUUGCUUUAACAAUACAUUGCAUCCGCCCCAAUCCCCAACUUUCUGGAUAGCACAGACUCAGAAAACAAGCUUAUUCUCACUGCAAAGCAUAUUCUUUCUCUCGGCUUCCUUACUUCUGCUGCAUUAGUUGCCUUCCAACAUCUUAUUGGAGGUCUAAUCUGUUAAAAAUAGGUCUCUGACUAUUUUUCUUUUUCUGGUCCUGCCCAAUUAACCCAUUUUGCACACUGCUCCCAGGUGGACCCUCUUGGGGGCAAUUCUGAUCCCAAUAUUCAUCUGUUCUCCAAGAUCAGGUUUAGCAAGAAGUAUUAGUUUCCUACUGCUGCUACGAUAAAUAACCACAAACUGAGUGACUUAAAGAAUACAAAUGUAUUUUCUGUAGCUCAAAAGCCUGACUUGGAUCUCACUGAGCUAAGACCAAAAUGUUAGUAGGGUUGGAUUAUCUUCAGGAGCUCUGGCAGGAACCCGUUACCUUGCCUUUUUCAGUUUUUAGUGGCCACCUGCUUGCCUUGGUUCGUAGCCCCUUCCUCUGUGUUCAAAGCCAACACUAUCAGGCCAACUCCUGUCCUGUUGCUAUCUCUCUGGUUUUUCAUAGUCACAUCUUUCUCUAACCCUUUUAAAGACCCUUGUGAUUACGUUGAGCCCACUGAAGUAAUCCAAAAUCGUCUCCCUAUCUUAAUGUCUUCAGGUCAGCUGAUUAGCAACUGUAAUUCCAUCUGCAACCCUAAUUCCCUUUGCCUUGUAGCCUAUCAUACUUACAUCUUUAGGGAAGUCAUUAUUCUGCCUACUACACAAGGUAUCCAAAGGGCUUCAAGAUCUGGCCUAGUUUUACUUUCCAUCCUUGAGCCCCUUCCAGGGUCUAUUCUCAUUUCUUUUGUGUCAAGUGUUACGGCCAAACUAAAUUUCCCAUGAAGUGGCCAGUGUUCAUUCUUUAAUCCCUAAAUUUUGUUCAUGCAGUUCUCACUUCCUAUGUUAUUUUCCAACUUCUUUGAAAACAUAUCUUCAUUCUUCAAGUUUCCUCCCCUGUGAAUCUUUUAAACACUCUCUUAGGCAGAACUGAUUACUCCUUCAUGUGUGCUUUCAUUGACUAUAUCUUCUACAGAAUUAUUGUGUUAAGCCAUUUGUAAUUUUUUUCUUUCCUUUUUUCUUUUUUUUCCCUGAGGCCCCAGGAUACACUUUUCCCUAACCCUUCCAGGUGCAAAAUUGUGAAAGGUGGUAGAUAUAUUUUGUUAGAUGUUUGAAAAGUAUGUUAUAAAGUAAGAGAAGCUGCCAUUACAGACUCCUUUCUCCAAAUACCAGUGGUUUACCAUAAUAGAAGGUUAUCUUUUGAUCAUUUAUAAUACAAGGCUGGUGUUUCUGGUCUACUGGUAACCUCAUCCAUAUUGAUUCAAGGACCCUGGUGCCUACCACCUCCUGGCUCUGUUAUACUACCAGGCCCUUCUAAUUCAAAUCCAGACAGUAGAAGGAAAAAGAGAAUGUUCAAGAGACUCAUUUGAUUUUUAAAAAGUAGCUUGGAGGCUACUUCAUUUUUAUUUACAUUCCCUUGGAGAAAACUCUGUUACAUAGUUCCCGCAGUGCCCCCCAAAAACAGCAAGGGAGCCUGGGAAAUGUAGUCUAACCAGGUAUCCAGCAAAAUCCUAUUACCACAGGGAAGAAGGUAACGGGUUUUAGUAGAAAACUGUGAUACGUGCUACAGAGUGAAGAGUCUGGUUCCUCCAUGACUCCCCUGAGGGAAGUCAUGCUUCCCUCCUGCCAACUCUUAUUUGAACAUGUAUCUCUUAUGUAAACUAUAAUAUUCCACCUUGUAUCCUGUUUCUUUGUAAUAUAUGUCUGACUUAUUCCAAAGUACAUAAAUCAGAUCAAUGUAGUAGAGGAAUUGUAAAAGUAUGCGUAAAUCCUACAUUUUACAUAAACUUUCCUAUAUUUAUUAAGUAUCAUUCUGCUAGAUUGAAUUGUUCCUUAUGACAAAUAUGACCUGGAUAAAUAAGGAAGAUAUAAUUCUUUUUUUCUGCAGGGGGGACGUUGUUGGUGGGGGGAACGGAGUCUUGCUCUAUCGCCCAGGCUGGAGUGCAGUGGCCUGAUCUCGGCUCACUGCAAGCUCUGCCUCUCGGGUUCACACCAUUCUCCUGCCUCAGCCUCUGAGAAUCUGGGACUACAGAUGCCCGCCACCACGCCCAGCUAAUUUUUUGUAUUUUUAGUAGAGACGGGGUUUCACAGUGUUAGCCAGAAUGGUCUCCAUCUCCUGACCUCGUGGCCCGCCCGCCUCGGCCUCCCAAAGUGCUGGGAUUACAGGCAUGAGCCACCACACCCGGCCCAGGAAGAUAUAAUUCUAAAAUCUUUAGAAAUAAUUUUAAAUGUUGAGAGAAAAGGUAGGCAUUGUUCUGUGGCAACGGUAAGAAUGAUGGAAAGCAAGAUGAUAAGAAAAGGAUACAGGACUUGACAGAAGGUGAGGCUUUUGUCAAGAAUGUUAGUUAAGAGCAUGGGGUUUAAAAUUAAAUGGAUUAGUUCUGCAUUUUUAUGGCUAUGUCACUUGAGCAAAUUAAAGUCUCUGAGCCUCAAUUUCAGUAUCUGUCAAAUGGAGGUAACUGUUCACAAUUUUUACAAGGUUUAUAUUAGGUAAGUUUGUAAGACAGUUAGAAUUUCUAAUUCAUAAAUACUCUAAAAUGCUAGGUUUUAUUUUUCUUAAACAUUGUUGAAUAAGGAAAUCUAUAUUAACCUUAGAUUUUUUAAAGCACGCAUAUAAAGAACAAAGACAAAUAGAAGUUUUGAGUUACAAAUAAAUUCAGGAAAGCUGAAAUUCAAAGACCUGAUGUUUAUAAGGACACAAGGACAAACGAAAGAUCUUUCAAGGUUUUUACAUUUACAAGAAGAAAACAAAAAAGUGCUUGAGGUUAACAAGCUACGUUUUUUUAUCCCUUCAAAAGCAUAGCAUCUCAAGAGUGGAACAAACACUUGACAGAAGUGGUUGAGGCACCAUGCAGGUAAAGUGGUUGGGGAGAAACAUUCUGCCCUGAAUAAAUGGCUUUGUGGCCAGGCUUUGGUUGUCUAAGUUCCAAAGUGAGAAAACUUACCAAUGAGAUUGAAAACUUGAUAUUGAAUUAAUCAAAGAGAAUAAAGGACCAACAGGAGAGGCACAAGAAAGUUGAGAAGAAAAAGGUAGCUCUCAUUUUCGAAAGAAGAAUAUUGAUAACUAUAGACUGGAACAUAACCUUUAGCAUUCAAAAGAUUCACAACAGGUUACCCUAGCUCCUCAAUGGGACAUCAGUCUUAGAAAUGCUGUUGCAUUAAAUAUAUACAUCAAUUUUUAGAAGCAAUCUGGUUUCAGAAAUAAGACAGUGUGUGCAGGCAAGAGAAAUGUCUUAGGCUAAACACACAUGAGUUGACUAGAACAAGAUUGGAAACUAUGAAUAAACAUGAUCAUUAUGCUGAAGUCCAGGUGUGUUCAUUCAAGCCUUUAAUUAUAUCCUUUUGGACUAGGUUUUAGAAACAGGGUGGGUGAAAUGUGUUUUUGUAAAUUUAGUGGGUUGUUAUCUUACUUGAGCUAAGUGACAAGUGUGUGUGUUACUCAAGAAUUGUGUUCUUAAAGCAUUAGAACUUUGACCCAAGUCUUACCAUAAAUUUUAGCAAUGGCUAGAAUGAUCAGAAGAGACUAUUUUCAAAUUACAGAUAAAUAAAAUCAUAAUGAUUAGGCAUAUGGAUUUUGAAAUUGUUACACUUGGAAGAGAGUUCUGGCUUCGCCAUUUAUCAGAUGUGUAGCUUUAGUCAAGUGAUUUAAACUAUUCUAAACCUCAACUUCCUCAUCUAUAAAACUAUAAUUUGGAAAAGGCCAUCUACCCAUUGUAUGGAUGACGUGGGAUAACUAACAUAAAUGCACCUAGCAAAUAGUAUAUGCCCAUCAGGAUGGAGAUAGUUACAAUGCUGGUGUUCCAAAUAAAAUUGCCUCUCACAACCAGAGAGCAUUUCAGUAAAGUUAAAUAGCUUACAGAAAUGGGUAAAUCAAAUCAAACAAGAUUAAAAUGAAUCGCAAUAUGCCAUUUGAGCAAAAGGGUAAGAGAACAAGUUAUGUUUUUAUACAGGAAUAGAAUAAAAAAGGCAGAUAAUUAGAGGCAGAUAUGUAAGUGUUUGAACCAUUUAAGUAACUAUGUUCAAUAUGAAUCUAUUAAAAAACAUAAAUCAAUGAAAACAUGUAACAAAAUACCUAGCAUUUUCUUUGACUACAUCUGUGAAAAUAUGGAAAGUAAUAUAAAGCAGAGACCAGCUUCACUGUGCUCUGUACUGUCUAACAACACUGAAAAUCUUACAUUAUGAAUGGAAGGCAGACAAAUGGAAAAAUAUUCAAAGGAGAGUAAUCAAAGCGUGGGGAAGCAUGCCAUCUGAAUAAUGGCUGGAAGAGAAGUGGUAGUUGUUUCCAGUUUGGGGCUAUUAUGAUAAAACAGCUGCUGUGACAUUUUAUAUAAAUCAUUUUCAUAGACAUAUGUUUCCAUUUAUCUAAGGUAAAUAUCUAGAAGUAGAAUUGUCCUAUGGUAGGUGUACAUUUAACUUCAUUAGAAAAUGCCAAUUUUCCAGAGUGGUUGUACUAUUUUACACUACUUUUUAAUUGUUUAUAUAUUUAUUUCAAUCUCAUUCCUUGAUGGAAUUAUGUCAACCUUUCCAGAUUUCUGUCUUAGAAAAAAAUUGGAAGACUUAACCACUCUGCACUCAUAUGCAGUGACCAAAAACAAGCAGAAUUGAAUAUCCAUUACCCUUUUAGAUGGUACAGGAACAGUGCAAUUUCCCUCACACUUCACUCAUCACUCCUGACUCACUCACUCAUUUGGUACCAACUGAUACGUAUUAGCAUGAGUUUGCAUACCUUCAUGUAAUGGGAGACUGAAACAGCCACAGCCAUUUAACUUACUGACAGUAGGCCAUUGUUGAUGCUUGCAUUUGAGUAAGAACAUAAACUUCAAGGUGUGUGUUUGUAUUUAUACUUUGUCAUUGUUGUUGCUUUUUGUAAGUGCCAUCUUGGAGAUAUUUGUGUUUUUCCUUUUGACUGCCUCCUCCUUCAGUUGCACCCAGAGGGUCGGAACAGAAGCAGCAGCAGGAAUGUUGCUAGGCAAAAAGGUUCUGAUGACAAUGAUGGAGAUUGCAAAUUAUGAUUAGUGCAAACCCAGGAUGUGUCAUCAGCUUAGGAUUCUGUUAUUUACUUAAUUUGAGCCUAAUGAUAUGAAACAUCGUUGUAAUGUUGAAGUUUUCUUAUCCUUUUCAAGGUGCUUCAAUUCCCUGAGGAAAGAGGCAAGCAGAUGGAAUAUUUCAGGCUGCAGACAUAGAAGAAUGAGAUAGAAAUAUGCUCUCUGUCCUUGAUGUGAAGAUUCUGUCACUUUUAAUUCUCCAGCUUAUUUACUUUUCUACUACAUAAGAACUGGGGCUUGUUUUAGCAGCAUUGAUUAAGUUGUCAUUGAUUUUCAAGAUAGGAAAUAGAACUUUCAAAUUUCCCACAUGAAUUUUAAAUAAGUCAGAUAUUAACAACAAGAUAAAACAUUUACCAUGGCAAUGACAGAAUAGUCAAGUAUCAUUCAAAACCUUUCAAGGCUCACAAAGAGCAUAUGGAUUCUAGAUGUCAAUACAUACAUGACUAGAACUUACCUGGAGACACACAGCCAGCAAGAUGAGCAUCUGGAGCAGAGAGCAAUUUUACUUUAACGGAAGAUAGCGGUGAGGGCUUGAACACUAAGGAAUUAAUGAGAGAUCAGCCCCUUUAGCGACUCAAAGCAUAUUAUAACUCCAGCUGGUCAAAAAGAGAGGAAAUAAAUAAUAUAACAGGAACAACUGCAAGAGCAAGUGCAGCAUCAUGUUGGUGCAUUUCUUUUGAUCAAAAGGUCAAAUUGCAACUGGUCUUUGAAGAGUGUGCUGGUGACAGUGUGCAACCUUUGCAGUAGCUCCUGGACUGGCCCUAGACUGCUGUCAAAUUAAACCAGCGCUGUAAAGAAGAGAGCAAGUACCCUAAAGUUGAAUGAAGGGGCAUCUUAAUUCGAAUCCUGGCUCUAAUGCUGACUGUAAGCAUGACCCCAGAUGAGUUAUUCACUCUCUCAGUCUCAGUCUCCUCAUCCACAAAGCAGGGAUCACAAUAAAUGAAUAGCACCUUUCACAGAACCCACCAUAUAUACUGAGUGUCCAGCAAAUACUGUGUUCAUCAUCUAACAUCAUAACACAUUGAGCAUCCAUCAGAGCAGAAAUAGUUCGCACCUGGAUAUUUCUGUUUCUUUUUUUUGCUAUCCUACUGGUGUUUUACUUAAGUUUAGUAUGGUAACAUGAAAGAAAAUUACUGCUCUUCUGCUAUUUAGUUAGCAUUUUUAUGCUUUUAAAAAAUAUUGCAAUAAAAUUAAUAAAAUUUGA
This is a long non-coding RNA of Pan troglodytes (chimpanzee), 11684 nucleotides long. RefSeq lists it as uncharacterized. Lineage: Eukaryota; Metazoa; Chordata; Mammalia; Primates; Hominidae. The transcript is spliced from 5 exons. The record is from RefSeq and is a predicted model, not a curated record.